GCCCGUUUAGCUCAAUGGUUAGAGCAUCAGCCCACGGACUGAAGGGUUGUGGGUUUGAUUCCCCAUCAGGCG
This 72-nucleotide transfer RNA is filed under the name Myotis davidii. It matches the Rfam family "tRNA". From Rfam's summary of the family: Transfer RNA (tRNA) molecules are approximately 80 nucleotides in length. Their secondary structure includes four short double-helical elements and three loops (D, anti-codon, and T loops). Further hydrogen bonds mediate the characteristic L-shaped molecular structure. tRNAs have two regions of fundamental functional importance: the anti-codon, which is responsible for specific mRNA codon recognition, and the 3' end, to which the tRNAs corresponding amino acid is attached (by aminoacyl-tRNA synthetases). tRNAs cope with the degeneracy of the genetic code in two manners: having more than one tRNA (with a specific anti-codon) for a particular amino acid; and 'wobble' base-pairing, i.e. permitting non-standard base-pairing at the 3rd anti-codon position. Lineage: Eukaryota; Metazoa; Chordata; Mammalia; Chiroptera; Vespertilionidae. The record is from Rfam by way of RNAcentral.